This 440-nucleotide ribosomal RNA is filed under the name uncultured bacterium. RNAcentral describes it as "partial 16S ribosomal RNA". It matches the Rfam family "Bacterial small subunit ribosomal RNA", at positions 339 to 795 of the family's 1533-position model. The record is from RNAcentral.
CUACGGGCCGCUCCAGUGAGGAAUAUUGCACAAUGGGGGGAACCCUGAUGCAGCAACGCCGCGUGGAGGAUGACGCAUUUCGGUGUGUAAACUCCUUUUAUAUGUCAAGAAAAUGACGGUAGCAUAUGAAUAAGCACCGGCUAACUCCGUGCCAGCAGCCGCGGGUAAUACGGAAGGUGCAAGCGUUACUCGGAAUCACUGGGCGUAAGGGACGCGUAGGCGGGUUGGAAAGUCAGGUGUGAAAUCCUACAGCUUAACUGUAGAACUGCACUUGAAACUUCUAAUCUAGAGUAUGGGAGGGGGAGAUGGAAUUAGUGGUGUAGGGGUAAAAUCCGUAGAUAUCACUAGGAAUACCUAAAGCGAAGGCGAUCUCCUGGAACAUUACUGACGCUAAGGCGUGAAAGCGUGGGGAGCAAACAGGAUUAGAUACCCGAGUAGUC